GUGACCACUGACGUCAUCAGGGUUUGGAUUGAGAAUUUUCUGAUCAACGGCCAUCUUGUUUUGUGGAAGACCUCGGCUGAUAAACAAUAAAACUGUGACAGCAGCCUAAAUAAACCUGCUGUGGUGGUAUCAAGCGGCAACCUCCCGCUCCCUCUCGUGAAGCCAACACGGAAGUGACUAAAGCUGCAAUUCAUCGACUGGCCGCUGGAGGCUGGUUGCAAAAGGAAAGAGAUUUUUGUGACAACUUUGCACAACAGUUUGGAGAUGUCAUCACAUCACAAAAACCCAUGCCUGCUGGAUUAAUAUGCAUUUGAGGAGAUAAGAAAGGUGAUUCCAAAGCAAUACGUACAUAUAUGAGGAAAAACAGACAACUUGGAGAAGAUAUGUGAUGACUUUGCUUGGCAGAAAAGGAUGUUUUAAAGGGAUACUCUUCCCAAAAAUCUAAAUUAUUUGAUCUGAUUCAUUCUUAUACUGUACCAGAUGUAUAUGACUUUUUUCUUCAGAUAAACACUAUCUAAAGAUUUUUAAAAAAAAUAAUCCAUCUAUGUGAGACCAUAUAAUGCUAGAGGAAGGGACCCUUAAAGUAAAUGCUUGAGAUGUUGUGAAGAUGUCUUUAGUAGAUAUUUAUUCCUUCCCUUUGGCUUAUAUGAAUUACUGUCAUAAUUGCUGUGUUUUUUUGUUUUUUUUUAAAGCAUCAAAUAUGGACUCACAGAGAUUGAUUAUUUUUCUAAAAAUCGUUGUAUUUAUCAGAAGAAAGUAAUAUACAUGGAGGUUAGCAUGAGGGUGAUAAAUGAUAAGAGAGUUUAAUUUUUUUAGAAGGACUACCUCAUUAAAUUAAAUGGACUGUCAGCAAUUUAAAAACAAUAAAUAAGACAUUCUUUACACACACUGUAAAACCCAACAAGUUAGGGUAACUCAAACCGUUUGAGUAAACCGAUUGCCUUAAACAUUUAAGUUUUUAAAACUAACAAUUAUGAGUGCUCUGAACUUAUUUCAGUUGAGUUCAGUUAAGUGAUUAAUU
This is a long non-coding RNA of Onychostoma macrolepis, 1021 nucleotides long. RefSeq lists it as uncharacterized. Lineage: Eukaryota; Metazoa; Chordata; Actinopteri; Cypriniformes; Cyprinidae. The record is from RefSeq and is a predicted model, not a curated record. The transcript is spliced from 5 exons.